UACGAAGGGGGCUAGCGUUGUUCGGAAUUACUGGGCGUAAAGCGUGCGUAGGUGGUUUGUUAAGUCUGUUGUGAAAGCCCCGGGCUCAACCUGGGAAUGGCAAUGGAUACUGGCAGGCUAGAGUGCGGUAGAGGGUAGUGGAAUUCCCGGUGUAGCGGUGAAAUGCGUAGAUAUCGGAAGGAACACCAGUGGCGAAAGCGGCUUCCUGGUCCAGCACCGACGUUCAGGCACGAAAGCGUGGGGAGCAAACAGG
RNAcentral lists this ribosomal RNA (253 nucleotides) under uncultured bacterium. Its description in RNAcentral is "partial 16S ribosomal RNA". It matches the Rfam family "Bacterial small subunit ribosomal RNA", at positions 524 to 776 of the family's 1533-position model. The record is from RNAcentral.